UGCAACUGGAGGAGCUAAAGAGACAACUACAAAACACUGAAUCUGACGCCAAGAUCAAAGAACUUCAAAAAAUUAUAGAUGAAAAAAAUGAGGAGCUGGCCAGAAAAACAGAGGAGCUCAAACAAAGGAGCACUCAACCACAGAGACUUUUGCAGAUUAUUGCAAUACAAACACAGAUUGAGAAGUUGGCGACCGUGGCAGCAAAUGACACUGAUUACCGUAAGAUUAACGCACUCCAGGCUCAUUUGAAUUAUUU
Plectropomus leopardus (leopard coralgrouper) is the source of this 256-nucleotide non-coding RNA. Lineage: Eukaryota; Metazoa; Chordata; Actinopteri; Perciformes; Serranidae. The record is from RefSeq and is a predicted model, not a curated record.